AAGGUUUGAUUUAGGAUUUAGGAUUUGGUUUAUGAUUUAAUUAGGGUUUGAUUUAGAGUUAGGAUUUGGAUAGGAUUUAAUUUAGAAUUUAGGAUUUGGUUAGGAUUUGAUUUAGGAUUUGAAUUUGGUUAGGAUUUGGUUUAGGAUCUAGGAUUUGGUUUAAGGUUGGUUAGGAUUUGAUUUAGGAUUUAGGAUUUGAUUAGGAUUUGAUUUAAGAUUAGAAUUUGAUUAGGAUUUGAUUUAGAGUUUAGGAUUUGGUUUAGAGUUAGUUAAGAUUUGAUUUAGGAUUUAGGAUUUAGGAUUUA
RNAcentral lists this long non-coding RNA (305 nucleotides) under Physcomitrium patens. Its description in RNAcentral is "long non-coding RNA (PPAT_LNC002768)". The record is from RNAcentral. Lineage: Eukaryota; Viridiplantae; Streptophyta; Bryopsida; Funariales; Funariaceae.